UAUCUCUGUAGAGUCUGCAUAUCAAUAAGCGGAGGAAAAGAAACUAACAAGGAUUCCCCUAGUAACGGCGAGUGAAGCGGGAAGAGCUCAAAUUUGAAAUCUUCAAGGUUUGACCUUGACGAAUUGUAGUUUAAAGAAGUGUUUUCGGUUAGAGGAGUAGUAAAAGUUCUUUGGAAUAGGACAUCAUAGAGGGUGAGAAUCCCGUAUUUGACUAUUCUUUCUAGCUUUGUGAUACACUUUCAAAGAGUCGGAUUGUUUGGGAAUGCAGUCCAAAAUGGGUGGUAAAUUUCAUCUAAAGCUAAAUAUUGGCGAGAGACCGAUAGCGAACAAGUACCGUGAGGGAAAGAUGAAAAGAACUUUGAAAAGAGAGUUAAACAGUACGUGAAAUUGUCAAAAGGGAAGCGUUUGACACCAGUGUUGUUUUUCCGAAAAUCAAUUAAAAAUUGAUUCAUGCCAGGUUGUAUUGACCUUAUCAGCUUGCAAUUUGGUUUUGGGUCUCUUUUUGAUGCACUUUUCGGUUAACAAGUCAACAUCAAUUUCCUUUGCUGUAAAAAGGUAAGAGGAAGGUGGCUUCAAUUUCGGUUGAAGUGUUUAUAGCCUUUUAUCUCUGCAAUCGGGGAGAUUGAGGUCUGCAGCGUAGAUCCUUCGGGGCUAGAUACAUUUAUGCUAAGUUAUAGCUUUUCAUAGACAACUUGUUGACUAUGUUUAGUCAUGUAGCUUACUCGUAAGUGCUAUUUUACCUACGCUUAGGAUGUUGAAGACUCUACAGAGAUA
This 774-nucleotide ribosomal RNA is filed under the name uncultured Neocallimastigales. Its description in RNAcentral is "partial large subunit ribosomal RNA". It matches the Rfam family "Eukaryotic large subunit ribosomal RNA", at positions 24 to 642 of the family's 3401-position model. Lineage: Eukaryota; Fungi; Neocallimastigomycota; Neocallimastigomycetes; Neocallimastigales. The record is from RNAcentral.